UACAGAGGAGCCAAGCGUUGUCCGGAUUGACUGGGCGUAAAGCGCACGCAGGCGGUCUGGCGCGUGGGGUGUGAAAUCUGGCCGCUUAACGGCCAGGCGCCAUCCCAUACGGCCGGACUGGAGCCUUGCAGAGGUCGGUGGAAUUGCCGGUGUAGUGGUGAAAUGCGUAGAUAUCGGGAGGAACACCGGUGGCGAAGGCGGCGUUCUGGACUGCAACUGACACUGAGGAACGAAAGCCAGGGGAGCAAACGGG
This 253-nucleotide ribosomal RNA is filed under the name uncultured bacterium. RNAcentral's name for it is "partial 16S ribosomal RNA". It matches the Rfam family "Bacterial small subunit ribosomal RNA", at positions 524 to 776 of the family's 1533-position model. The record is from RNAcentral.